This 319-nucleotide long non-coding RNA is filed under the name Lathyrus oleraceus (garden pea). Its description in RNAcentral is "Pisum sativum (pea) long non-coding RNA (PSAT_LNC017927)". Lineage: Eukaryota; Viridiplantae; Streptophyta; Magnoliopsida; Fabales; Fabaceae. The record is from RNAcentral.
AGAGACUACAUUUUCAUUUUGAGUAAACUUGUUUUUUACAUUGGGUCAAUCAUACAUUACAAUGAUACCUUCAUCACAUAAAUUACAUACAUUUUAAUAAAAUAGAAAAUAUAAAACGAAGGAAAAAGAAAUGAGUUUAUUGUUGAGUAACAGGAAAUCCCUUGCUUCACAGUUGCAGUCUGCUUUCAUCAUCCCAAGCCAUAUUGCAUACCAUCAUCAUCCCAUCAACAUCCUGCAUAGUCAAAUAAAACAUAAUUAAAAGUUGAAAAAAGAAAGGAAAAAAUAAAACACGAGUUUGUUACAAGCUGCAAGCUCCAUC